UGCCUGGACCCAGAGAGUGUGGGACUCCCCGC
RNAcentral lists this non-coding RNA (32 nucleotides) under Homo sapiens (human). Lineage: Eukaryota; Metazoa; Chordata; Mammalia; Primates; Hominidae. The record is from RNAcentral.